Molecule: ribosomal RNA, 301 nt
Filed under: uncultured bacterium
Lineage: Bacteria
Description: partial 16S ribosomal RNA
Rfam family: Bacterial small subunit ribosomal RNA
Source: RNAcentral
CAGCAGCCGCGGGAAUACGAAGGGGGCUAGCGUUGUUCGGAUUUACUGGGCGUAAAGGGCGCGUAGGCGGAUUUGUAAGUCAGGGGUGAAAUCCCGAGGCUCAACCUCGGAACUGCCUUUGAUACUGUGGAUCUUGAGUCCGGGAGAGGUGAGUGGAACUGCGAGUGUAGAGGUGAAAUUCGUAGAUAUUCGCAAGAACACCAGUGGCGAAGGCGGCUCACUGGCCCGGAACUGACGCUGAGGCGCGAAAGCGUGGGGAGCAAACAGGAUUAGAUACCCCCGUAGUCCCUGUCUCUUAUAC